This 76-nucleotide transfer RNA is filed under the name Lacunisphaera sp. Its description in RNAcentral is "tRNA-Ala". It matches the Rfam family "tRNA". Rfam says of the family: Transfer RNA (tRNA) molecules are approximately 80 nucleotides in length. Their secondary structure includes four short double-helical elements and three loops (D, anti-codon, and T loops). The record is from RNAcentral. RNAcentral also lists the same sequence under 2 other names. Lineage: Bacteria; Pseudomonadati; Verrucomicrobiota; Opitutia; Opitutales; Opitutaceae.
GGGCUCUUAGCUCAGUUGGUAGAGCGCCUCAAUGGCAUUGAGGAGGUCAUCAGUUCGAACCUGAUAGGGUCCACCA